CCACAACUCUCGGGGAGCCUUGUCCCAUGACAUGGCUGAGACGCGCAAGCGGACCCGUUGAACCUGAUCCGGUUAAUACCAGCGUAGGGAAGAGUCAGUCCGUGAAA
This 107-nucleotide non-coding RNA is filed under the name Gynuella sunshinyii. RNAcentral describes it as "TPP sequence". It matches the Rfam family "TPP riboswitch aptamer (THI element)". From Rfam's summary of the family: Vitamin B(1) in its active form thiamin pyrophosphate (TPP) is an essential coenzyme that is synthesised by coupling of pyrimidine and thiazole moieties in bacteria. The previously detected thiamin-regulatory element, thi box was extended, resulting in a new, highly conserved RNA secondary structure, the THI element, which is widely distributed in eubacteria and also occurs in some archaea. Lineage: Bacteria; Pseudomonadati; Pseudomonadota; Gammaproteobacteria; Oceanospirillales; Saccharospirillaceae. The record is from RNAcentral. RNAcentral also lists the same sequence under 1 other name.